RNAcentral lists this ribosomal RNA (484 nucleotides) under uncultured bacterium. RNAcentral's name for it is "partial 16S ribosomal RNA". It matches the Rfam family "Bacterial small subunit ribosomal RNA", at positions 30 to 507 of the family's 1533-position model. The record is from RNAcentral.
AUUGAACGCUGGCGGCAGGCCUAACACAUGCAAGUCGAGCGGAUGAAGGGAGCUUGCUCCUGGAUUCAGCGGCGGACGGGUGAGUAAUGCCUAGGAAUCUGCCUGGUAGUGGGGGAUAACGUCCGGAAACGGGCGCUAAUACCGCAUACGUCCUGAGGGAGAAAGUGGGGGAUCUUCGGACCUCACGCUAUCAGAUGAGCCUAGGUCGGAUUAGUUAGUUGGUGGGGUAAAGGCCUACCAAGGCGACGAUCCGUAACUGGUCUGAGAGGAGGAUCAGUCACACUGGAACGGAGACACGGUCCAGACUCCUACGGGAGGCAGCAGUGGGGAAUAUUGGACAAUGGGCGAAGGCCUGAUCCAGCCAUGCCGCGUGUGUGAAGAAGUUCUUCGGAUUGUAAAGCACUUUAAGUUGGGAGGAAGGGCAGUAAGUUAAUACCUUGCUGUUUUGACGUUACCAACAGAAUAAGCACCGGCUAACUUCGUG